This is a long non-coding RNA of Fukomys damarensis (Damara mole-rat), 777 nucleotides long. RefSeq lists it as uncharacterized. The record is from RefSeq and is a predicted model, not a curated record. The transcript has 3 exons. Lineage: Eukaryota; Metazoa; Chordata; Mammalia; Rodentia; Bathyergidae.
AUCCAACCUAAAGGGUGAGGGUGGUCCACAGCAGACGUCCCAGGCUGGAGUGGUGGCCGCGAACGGAGACGGGUGCUCGGGCCUGCGCCCUUCCUUGCUCAGGUCGCGGUGGGGACGCGCGGGCUGCACCCACGGUUACCUCUAAGGCCCAGAGCAAGUGUUCUCUGCCAGAGGCGGGGAAAACCGAGGGAUACGGGCCCGGGAACCGAGCGGCUGAUCCGUUCGACCGUUCUUCAUUCCGGCUGGGCACACUCUGAACACCUCCGUUCGGUUUCUGCGCUAGGUGCUGCGGAUACGUCGGUGAGCGAGAGAAACCACGGGCCUUCUUCCCGCUGAUCCUGCAGCCCCAGUGGAUGGAGCCCCGAGCCCACCGACCUGUCAGGAAAGAAAAAAAACGUCCUGAUGGUUGGUCCCAGCAGGGACGCCCAGGUGGACUGAGGAAUGUGUGGCCCCUCCUCAGCGCAUUGAUCCCUGUGGCAAUCUCGAGUAUCCCCCAGAAAACCCCAAAAUGAGAGGCCUGCAGUCUGCAAGUCGCUGCUAGAAAUACUUUAGUUUCUCCUGAAAACAGAAUGCAGCCAACGCGCAAGUUUGCAAGGGCCUUGUGUGCCUGCUGAGCGUGCGCAGGCGCGCACGCUCGCGGUUGGCUCCAGCUCCGGACCAGGUGCUACCAUAGCAACGUCCUGGACGCCCAGACCUCUGGUUGCCGCCGCCGCCACCGGCGCGGAGGGAGACCCGCCUUCUCCCUCGCGAGGGCGUGGCGGCGGCGGCAGUGUAAGG